This 1121-nucleotide ribosomal RNA is filed under the name uncultured bacterium. RNAcentral's name for it is "bacterial SSU rRNA". It matches the Rfam family "Bacterial small subunit ribosomal RNA", at positions 8 to 1216 of the family's 1533-position model. The record is from RNAcentral.
AGAGUUUGAUCCUGGCUCAGAACGAACGCUGGCGGCGUGCUUAACACAUGCAAGUCGAGUGCGCGUUUCUGUAGCAAUACAGGAAUGGCGCACGGCGCACGGGUGCGUAACACGUGGGUAAUCUGCCCUCUGAUGGGGAAUAACCCGCCGAAAGGCGGGCUAAUUCCGCAUAACAUUCCUUGGACUCCGGUUCGGGGAUUCAAAGGCGUAAGUCGUCGGAGGUGGAGCCCGCGCACGAUUAGCUAGUUGGUAGGGUAACGGCCUACCAAGGCUUUGAUCGUUAGCUGGUCUGAGAGGAUGGCCAGCCACACUGGAACUGAGACACGGUCCAGACUCCUACGGGAGGCAGCAGUGGGGAAUCUUGCACAAUGGGCGAAAGCCUGAUGCAGCGACGCCGCGUGGGGGAUGAAGCUUCUCGGAGUGUAAACCCCUUUCGACCCGGACGAAUGCCCCGCAAGGGGAGUGACGGUACGGGUAUAAGAAGCCCCGGCUAACUACGUGCCAGCAGCCGCGGUAAGACGUAGGGGGCCAGCGUUGUUCGGAAUUACUGGGUGUAAAGGGUUCGUAGGCGGUGUGGCAAGUUGGGAGUGAAAUCUCUGGGCUCAACUCAGAGGCUGCUUCCAAAACUGCUGUGCUGGAGUGUGGGAGAGGCGCGUGGAAUUGCAGGUGUAGCGGUGAAAUGCGUAGAUAUCUGCAGGAACACCCGUGGCGAAGGCGGCGCGCUGGACCACUACUGACGCUGAGGAACGAAAGCUAGGGGAGCAAACAGGAUUAGAUACCCUGGUAGUCCUAGCCCUAAACGAUCAGGACUUGGGGUGCCACCCGUUCGGGUGUCGUCCCGGAGCUAACGCGUUAAGUCCUGCACCUGGGGAGUACGGUCGCAAGACUGAAACUCAAAGGAAUUGACGGGGCCCGCACAGCGGUGGACAUGGUGGUCAAUCGACGCUACGCGAGGACUACUGGCUCGAAUGCUCUGACAGCUGUGAACACGCUUCCCGCAGAAGGAUAUAGGCCUGCAUGCUGCGUCAGCUCUGCUGAGGGUGGUAAGUCCGCACGAGCAACCUGAGUUGCACCGAGGGAACUCAUGACGUUCGGCUACGUAGAAUGUAUGACUCAGUUCA